GAUGAACGCUGGCGGCGUGCCUAAUACAUGCAAGUCGAGCGAACGGACGAGAAGCUUGCUUCUCUGAUGUUAGCGGCGGACGGGUGAGUAACACGUGGAUAACCUACCUAUAAGUCUGGGAUAACUUCGGGAAACCGGAGCUAAUACCGGAUAAUAUUUUGAACCGCAUGGUUCAAAAGUGAAAGACGGUCUUGCUGUCACUUAUAGAUGGAUCCGCACUGCAUUAGCUAGUUGGUAAGGUAACGGCUUACCAAGGCAACGAUGCAUAGCCGACCUGAGAGGGUGAUAGGCCACACUGGAACUGAGACGCGGUCCACACUCCUACGGGAGGCACCAGUAGGGAAUCUUCCGCAAUAGGCGAAAGCCUGACGGUACAACGCCGCGUGAGUGAUGAAGGUCUUCGGAUCGUAAAACUCUGUUAUUAGGGAAGAACAUAUGUGUAAGUAACUGUGCACAUCUUUACGGUACCUGAUCAGAAAGCCACGGCUGACUACGGG
Molecule: ribosomal RNA, 497 nt
Filed under: uncultured bacterium
Lineage: Bacteria
Description: partial 16S ribosomal RNA
Rfam family: Bacterial small subunit ribosomal RNA
Source: RNAcentral